This 267-nucleotide ribosomal RNA is filed under the name uncultured bacterium. RNAcentral describes it as "partial 16S ribosomal RNA". It matches the Rfam family "Bacterial small subunit ribosomal RNA", at positions 87 to 354 of the family's 1533-position model. The record is from RNAcentral.
UAAUCUUAGUGGCGGACGGGUGAGUAACGCGUGGGUAACCUGCCUUACACUGGGGGGAUAACACUUAGAAAUAGGUGCUAAUACCGCAUAAGCGCACGAAGCCGCAUGGAUUUGUGUGAAAAACUCCGGUGGUGUAAGAUGGACCCGCGUCUGAUUAGCUUGUUGGCGGGGUAACGCCUACCAAGGCGACGAUCAGUAGCCGGCCUGAGAGGGUGGACGGCCACAUUGGGACUGAGACACGGCCCAAACUCCUACGGAAGGCAGCAG